RNAcentral lists this transfer RNA (67 nucleotides) under Ceratophyllus anisus. Its description in RNAcentral is "tRNA-Trp". Lineage: Eukaryota; Metazoa; Arthropoda; Insecta; Siphonaptera; Ceratophyllidae. The record is from RNAcentral.
AAGGUUUUAAGUUAAUUUAAAACUAAUAACCUUCAAAGUUAUAAAUAAAGCUCUUCUUUAAACCUUA